Molecule: ribosomal RNA, 253 nt
Filed under: uncultured bacterium
Lineage: Bacteria
Description: partial 16S ribosomal RNA
Rfam family: Bacterial small subunit ribosomal RNA
Source: RNAcentral
UACGUAGGGUGCGAGCGUUAAUCGGAAUUACUGGGCGUAAAGCGUGCGCAGGCGGUGAUGUAAGACCGAUGUGAAAUCCCCGGGCUUAACCUGGGAACUGCAUUGGUGACUGCAUCGCUCGAGUAUGGCAGAGGGGGGUAGAAUUCCACGUGUAGCAGUGAAAUGCGUAGAUAUUGGGAGGAACACCGGUGGCGAAGGCGGCCCCCUGGACCGGUACUGACGCUGAGGCGCGAAAGCGUGGGUAGCAAACGGG